UUUUCUAAAUACAACUAAAAUCAGAAAACACUGUUUUAGAGUUUUCUAUCGAGAAAACUAUCGCGAAAAAAAAACCACUCGAAAAAGAAAAAGAAGAAAUCAUGGAGAAAGGUUGAAGGUUCGUCGAUCUCUUCUUCUCCUCCUCACCUCUCUCCAUAUCUCUCUCUUCUCUUCACCAUAAUCUUCUUCCUCUUAUUCCUCUCUCUCUUUCCUCUUCACAAAAAUACAUCACCGACUACUUUCAUCUUCGAAAAGGUAAUUGAUCGAUUUCUAUUACUUCUUCAUGUUUCUAUUCAAUCAAUUAUUGAUAUAAUUAUUAGAUCUAAGAAUAAUUUCUACUCAAUCUCUAAUUUUGACAUUUAUCUUCUUAGGUUUUCAACUUUUUGUUGCAAGUGAUUACUUAAUAAUCAAUUAGAAUUAGAGAAAGGUAUUAACAAUUGUUAUUAUCAACAGAUAGUAUUAAAAUUUAGGGUUUUCUUCUCUGGGAUUUGGGGGUUUGACUGAAUUUAACUUAGCUUUUGAACUAGUGUAUUUUCUGGGAUUUUGCGACAUGGGAAUUUUCCCUGGGAUUUUGCGAGCAUGGGUUUAGAAGAUAUGAAUUUUCUCCUCUCAACAGUUUUUGGUUAGAAUAACUUGUUCAGUGAGUUAUUCCAUUUCCUUUAAUUGUUAUGACCAUACAUCCUCCAAUGACAAUUUCUAUCGAACGCAAACUUAAGAAAACAGAGAAGUCUCUAUUAAAUUGUUCUGCAUAUGCUUUAUAUACAUUGGAAGGGCUUGUCCUUGCCGAAUAAACAUUGCCCUUAUUAUUCUCGAUACCUUGAGGAACCUGCAUGAAACGUAAUUGUGCAACGACGUAGACAUUUUGUUUGUUGCAUCAAGCUAGAAAAGUGCAUGCAUGCCAGUCAACAAUUUUAGAAGAUGUGACUCCUUGAAAAUUCAUAAUACAAGUACUGUAUGAUGUGAUUGUUUUUAACCAUUAUACUUGAGAGAGCCAAUGAAGAGCAUAGGAAGAAUGAACAAAGUUUAAGGUUUUGGUUGGAAAGAGCCUGUUAUAAAACGAUCCUGGCACCCCUGCCACAAAACUUGGUCCAACUUCUUGUCCAUUUUCUGACCUGAAUUUCUUAAAGAAGUAAGGAAUCGAUUUAAAGAUGGUGUUAAAAUCAUUUUCUGGAAGAUCAUUUAAAAACACUUGAAACUCAGGUGGCGAACGUCCCAAUUUCUGGAAGAUCAUUUAUCAUGUUCAACAUGAUAAAUUUCAUAAGUUGAAGCUUAAUAAGGGUAUGAAUUAUCAAGUUUGGAUCGAUUAAUCGGAUUUUUUGUUAAAUGUUACUAUGGCUCCUGUAGGUAUGAAAAUGCCUAGAAAAGUGAGUUAUUCCAUUUCCUUUAAUUGUUAUGGCCAAAGUAAGUAUAGCUGCAAAUCAUAUCAUUUGUUGUUUGUGUACUGGGAUUGCAACUUGCAAGAAAAUGAUCUAAAUAGACUUGUUUGGGGCUCCAUGGACCAUGAAAUAUUGAGUUUAAGCUGUAUUUUUUCUAUAUUGCAAUGGUUUUGCAUGUGCAUAAUGUUUUUGCGUAUAUACUACAAUAUAUACUACAAAUGCAUGUGCAUUUUUCUGAAAUGAUUAACACUCUUUCUAAUCGUAAUGUAGUGAAAUGGCACAAGCUUUGCCCAACAGUUCUACGCAAGGUUCAUCAAAGUGAUUCCAGUUCCAGUGAUGAUGAUAUGAUAGAUUUACUUAUGAUGAGAUAUAUUCUAGAAUGUGAAAGUCUUUUCGUGGAUAAGAUUCCUUGUAGGACAUCUAUGCUUAGUGGCAAGAAAUACAUAGAGUAUGUUACAAGAGAAGGAUUAGUAGUGGAAGAUGAGUUGGACCUUGGCGUGGUACAAGAGGGUAUUCAAGUAGAUAUGUCCCAACAGAACCAGAUGAAUGCAGUUAGAGAUGGUAUUACAAAUGAGAUGUGGAAUGACUACAAUUGUCGUCGUUAAUUCUUUAUAUAUUUAGUAUUUAGCUUAUUUUUUAGUGUUGAAUUUGUCAUAUGUAGUUUUAUGUAUUGGUAUUUUGGAUUAUGUAAACAAUGUUUCAUUAUUGUAAGGAUUUUGUAGAAUGCACUUUAUUAUUU
RNAcentral lists this long non-coding RNA (2115 nucleotides) under Aquilegia coerulea. Its description in RNAcentral is "long non-coding RNA (ACOE_LNC002070)". Lineage: Eukaryota; Viridiplantae; Streptophyta; Magnoliopsida; Ranunculales; Ranunculaceae. The record is from RNAcentral.